Long non-coding RNA from Gavialis gangeticus (Gharial), 445 nucleotides. RefSeq lists it as uncharacterized. Lineage: Eukaryota; Metazoa; Chordata; Crocodylia; Gavialidae. The record is from RefSeq and is a predicted model, not a curated record. The transcript has 4 exons.
CCCGGUCAUAUCAUCAUGCCCCUGGAUUUUUAAGGUAGCUGUUGGCUGUAAAUAUCUGUGCUUACUAAAACUCAUGGUGACAGCAAUAGCAUAUUACUCCCUGAUCAAAGAAAGAUAUCCAGAGUUACAAGUUCUGGCUUCAGUGUCCACGUCUCAGCUGACUUGGGAUAUGAACUUGGACGAGCAUACAUCAUUCAGUAAGCUUCCCACUGGCUGCUGCCUCCAGUGUGCUCCUUCAAAGAGGCCUGAAGAUCUGGUGGAACAGAGCAUUUGCAGAAGUUAGUGCACACAGCAUUAAAUUCUGCAGUUUAACUUUAUGUACUUCAUCUUUGUGAUUGAAGAAGGACAAAAGGAGGCAACACCCAGAAGGCCUGAUAGAUCUGCAUGCAUGGGGAAUCUAUUCUGCUGGAAACUGGAGAAAUACCUUUGAGGUUACUGGAUCCCA